GACUGGGAGGUGAAAAUUUCUAUUGUAAAGAACUUUGUGAUAGUAUAGAAAAGAAUGCAACAUUUACAUGAAUUUCUUUUUUUAGGUUUAUUUAUUUAUUUUGAGAGAGAGCGAGCGAGCGAGCGAGCAGGGGAGAGGCAGACAGGGAGAGAGAGAAUCCCACCCAGGCUCCUGGCUGUGAGUGCAGAGCCUGAUGUGGGGUUCGAACCUACAACCCAUGAGAUCAUGAACUGAGCCAACAUCAAGAGUCGGAUGCUUAGCCGACACAGCCACACAGGUGCCCCCAAAUGGACAUGGAUUUCUUAGAGAAGUGGCUGCGGAACGGCGACCCAGCCAACACCAGAUCCAACCACCCUGUGCCUGAGGGAGGCUAUCUUACAGUAUGCAGCCCAUGGGGACACCAGCUGACUGUAGCUGCAGGAGCGACCCCAGGUAAAACCAACAAAAGGACGAGCCCAGCUAAGCCCAGACCAGGUUGCACACCUGUAGAAUCACGAGCAAAGAAGAUGGUGGUUACUUCAGGCUCACAAUUUUAGGGUGGUUUGUGCCACAGUGACGGACAACUGCUGAGAGUUGUACAUUUCUUUCUGAAGAUCUUACCCAUUUUUCUUCUGUCAAAUGUAGUCUUAUGUUCCUCCUAAAUUUUAUUACUGACGAAUGAGUUCUCUUUCUCUACUAUAUUUUCUACUUGGCUACAACUGAUUUAUAGAAAUGUGUUAGUUUUUAUAUGUCGUUCUUUCAAAACAAUUAAAUUUUUUUUUUUUUUUUUUUUUUAGAGAGAGAGCAGGCAGGAGAGAAGGGAUAGAGGAAGAGAGAGAGAGAGAGAGAGAGAGAGAGAGAGAGAGAAUCUUAAGCAGGCUCCACACUCAGCAUGGUGCCCGAUGGGGGCUCAAUCCCACCUCUCUGGGAUCAUGACCUGGGCCGAAUCAAGAGUCAGUCAGUCGCUCAACCAACUGAGCCACCCAGGUGCCCCUUUUUAUAUGUUGUUCUUAUAUGUAACAAGUUCCCCAAACUUUCUUAUUUUAAUAAUUUGAUAGAGUCUACUUGUCCUGUUAAUGAAGUUUUCUACAAUUCCUAGUUUGCCAAGACUUCAAUUUCUUUAUCAUGAAUGGCCAUUGAUGUAUAUUUAAUAUCAAUUUUCUCCUAUAAUUAGUUUAUAGAAUGCAUAAAAAGACUUUCUGAUGUUAAAUCCUUACAUUUCUGGAUUAAAUCCUACCUUGUUAUGAUAUAGUUUUCUUUAUAUACUGAUAAUCUCAGCUUAUUAAUUAAUUUAGGAUGGUUGUACCAAGUUCAUCCGCG
RNAcentral lists this long non-coding RNA (1299 nucleotides) under Felis catus (domestic cat). Its description in RNAcentral is "lncRNA (ENSFCAG00000051230.1)". Lineage: Eukaryota; Metazoa; Chordata; Mammalia; Carnivora; Felidae. The record is from RNAcentral.